CCUACGGGAGGCAGCAGUGGGGAAUAUUGCGCAAUGGGCGAAAGCCUGACGCAGCGACGCCGCGUGAGGGAUGAAGGUCUUCGGAUCGUAAACCUCUGUCAGCAGGGAAGAACGGUCACUGUGCUAAUCAGCAGUGAAUUGACGGUACCUGCAAAGGAAGCACCGGCUAACUCCGUGCCAGCAGCCGCGGUAAUACGGAGGGUGCGAGCGUUAAUCGGAAGUACUUGGCGUAAAGCGCUCGUAGGCGGUAUGUCAAGUCAAGGGGGAAAUCCCCGCGCUCAACGUGGGAACUGCCUUUGAAACUGGCAAACUGGAGUGUGUGAGAGGAUAGUGGAAUUCCAGGUGUAGGAGUGAAAUCCGUAGAUAUCUGGAGGAACAUCAGUGGCGAAGGCGACUAUCUGGCACAUAACUGACGCUGAGGAGCGAAAGCGUGGGUAGCAAACAGGAUUAGAUACCCCAGUAGUC
RNAcentral lists this ribosomal RNA (465 nucleotides) under uncultured bacterium. RNAcentral describes it as "partial 16S ribosomal RNA". It matches the Rfam family "Bacterial small subunit ribosomal RNA", at positions 338 to 795 of the family's 1533-position model. The record is from RNAcentral.